Molecule: small nucleolar RNA, 136 nt
Filed under: Neogobius melanostomus (round goby)
Lineage: Eukaryota; Metazoa; Chordata; Actinopteri; Gobiiformes; Gobiidae
Source: RNAcentral
UUGGGCACCUAUCGAAGCCGUCCAUGUUUGGUGGUAGCAGUGGACGGUCAAAAGGAUGCCGAAAUAAACACUUUCACCGACGGUCGCUGUUCAGUUCAAUGUAACUGUCUCAGCAACAUUUAGGGGAAGGACAUUU